AUGAAAGAAACAAUCAUGGGCCAGGAAAACCCACCAAACUGCAGGAAAGGAACUGCUCACAGAAAGAAGGAGGUGGUUCAUAAAACAGCCACAGCAGAUGAUUAAAAACUUCAGUUCUCCUUAAAGAAGUUAGAGGUAAACACUGUCUCUGGUAUUGAAGAGGUGAAUAUGUUUACAAACCAAGGAACAGUGAUCCACUUUAACAACCCUAAAGUUUAGGCAUCUCUAGCAGUGAACACUUUCACCAUUACAGGCCAUGCUGUGACAAAGCAGCUGACAGAAAUGCCAUGCAGCAUCUUAAACCAGCUUGGUGCAGUUUGGCUAGUUUAAGGAGACUGGCUGAAGCUCUGCCUAAACAAUACGUGGAUGGAAAGCACCACUUGCUACUGGAGAGGAUGACGAUGAUGAAGUUCCAGAUCUUGUAGAAAAUUUUGAUGAGGCUUCCAAGAAUGAGGCAAACUGAAUUGAGUCAACUUCUGAAGAAGAUAAAACUUGAAGAAGUUACUGGGAGCUGCUAUUUUAUAUU
Molecule: long non-coding RNA, 526 nt
Filed under: Homo sapiens (human)
Lineage: Eukaryota; Metazoa; Chordata; Mammalia; Primates; Hominidae
Description: non-protein coding lnc-ZC3H12B-11:1
Source: RNAcentral